GGUCGGAUAGCAGCUUGCUGCUUCGCUGACGAGUGGCGGACGGGUGAGUAAUGUCUGGGAAAUCUGCCUUGUUGAGGGGGAUAACUCUGGGAAACCCGAGCUAAUACCGCAUACGCUCAGCGGAUGAAAGCGGGGGAUCUUCGGACCUCUUGCUAUAAGAUGAGCCUACGUGGGAUUAGCUAGUUGGUGGGGUAAAGGCCUACCAAGGCGACGAUCCGUAGCUGGUCUGAGAGGAUGAUCAGCCACACUGGGACUGAGACACGGUCCAGACUCCUACGGGAGGCAGCAGUGGGGAAUAUUGCACAAUGGGCGCAAGCCUGAUGCAGCCAUGCCGCGUGUGUGAAGAAGGCCUGAGGGUUGUAAAGUACUUUCAGCAGGAAGGAAGGGCGGGGGUUUAAUACCUUUGCCCAUUGACGUUACCCGCAGAAGAAGCACCGGCUAACUCCGUGCCAGCAGCCGCGGUAAUACGGAGGGUGCGAGCGUUAAUCGGAAUUACUGGGCGUAAAGCGCGCGUAGGCGGUUUGAUAAGUCAGAUGUGAAAUCCCUGGGCUUAACCUGGGAACUGCAUCUGAUACUGGCAAGCUUGAGUCUCGUAGAGGGGGGUGGAAUUCCCGGUGUAGCGGUGAAAUGCGUAGAGAUCUGAAGGAACACGGGGGGGGGA
RNAcentral lists this ribosomal RNA (661 nucleotides) under Methylococcus sp. RNAcentral describes it as "bacterial SSU rRNA". It matches the Rfam family "Bacterial small subunit ribosomal RNA", at positions 68 to 719 of the family's 1533-position model. The record is from RNAcentral. Lineage: Bacteria; Pseudomonadati; Pseudomonadota; Gammaproteobacteria; Methylococcales; Methylococcaceae.